This 439-nucleotide ribosomal RNA is filed under the name uncultured bacterium. RNAcentral describes it as "partial 16S ribosomal RNA". It matches the Rfam family "Bacterial small subunit ribosomal RNA", at positions 339 to 795 of the family's 1533-position model. The record is from RNAcentral.
CUACGGGGGGCUGCAGUGGGGAAUAUUGGACAAUGGGCGCAAGCCUGAUCCAGCAAUGCCGCGUGAGUGAAGACGGCCUUAGGGUUGUAAAACUCUUUCGCUAGGGAAGAUAAUGACUGUACCUAGUAAAGAAGUCCCGGCUAACUCCGUGCCAGCAGCCGCGGUAAUACGGAGGGGACUAGCGUUGUUCGGAAUUACUGGGCGUAAAGAGUUCGUAGGCGGACUGACAAGUUAGAGGUGAAAUCCCAGGGCUCAACCCUGGAACUGCCUUUAAAACUGUCAGUCUAGAGACCGGAAGAGGUUAGGGGAAUACCGAGUGUAGAGGUGAAAUUCGUAGAUAUUAGGUGGAACACCAGUGGCGAAGGCGCCUAACUGGUCCGGUACUGACGCUGAGGAACGAAAGCGUGGGGAGUAAACAGGAUUAGAUACCCUUGUAGUC